AUUGAACGCUGGCGGCAGGCCUAACACAUGCAAGUCGAGCGGAUGAAGGGAGCUUGCUCCUGGAUUCAGCGGCGGACGGGUGAGUAAUGCCUAGGAAUCUGCCUGGUAGUGGGGGAUAACGUCCGGAAACGGGCGCUAAUACCGCAUACGUCCUGAGGGAGAAAGUGGGGGAUCUUCGGACCUCACGCUAUCAGAUGAGCCUAGGUCGGAUUAGCUAGUUGGUGGGGUAAAGGCCUACCAAGGCGACGAUCCGUAACUGGUCUGAGAGGAUGAUCAGUCACACUGGAACUGAGACACGGUCCAGACUCCUACGGGAGGCAGCAGUGGGGAAUAUUGGACAAAGGGCGAAAGCCUGAUCCAGCCAUGUCGCGUGUGUGAAGAAGGUCUUCGGAUUGUAAAGCACUUUAAGUUGGGAGGAAGGGCAGUAAGUUAAUACCUUGCUGUUUUGACGUUACCAACAGAAUAAGCACCGGCUAACUUCGUG
This 484-nucleotide ribosomal RNA is filed under the name uncultured bacterium. Its description in RNAcentral is "partial 16S ribosomal RNA". It matches the Rfam family "Bacterial small subunit ribosomal RNA", at positions 30 to 507 of the family's 1533-position model. The record is from RNAcentral.